RNAcentral lists this ribosomal RNA (299 nucleotides) under uncultured Bacillus sp. Its description in RNAcentral is "partial 16S ribosomal RNA". It matches the Rfam family "Bacterial small subunit ribosomal RNA", at positions 505 to 803 of the family's 1533-position model. Lineage: Bacteria; Bacillati; Bacillota; Bacilli; Caryophanales; Bacillaceae. The record is from RNAcentral.
GUGCCAGCCGCCGCGGUAAUACGUAGGUGGCAAGCGUUGUCCGGAAUUAUUGGGCGUAAAGCGCGCGCAGGCGGUCUUUUAAGUCUGAUGUGAAAUAUCGGGGCUCAACCCCGAGGGGUCAUUGGAAACUGGGAGACUUGAGUACAGAAGAGGAGAGUGGAAUUCCACGUGUAGCGGUGAAAUGCGUAGAUAUGUGGAGGAACACCAGUGGCGAAGGCGACUCUCUGGUCUGUAACUGACGCUGAGGCGCGAAAGCGUGGGAGCGAAACAGGAUUAGAUACCCUGGUAGUCCACGCCGU